Molecule: ribosomal RNA, 498 nt
Filed under: uncultured delta proteobacterium
Lineage: Bacteria; Deltaproteobacteria
Description: bacterial SSU rRNA
Rfam family: Bacterial small subunit ribosomal RNA
Source: RNAcentral
AUACGGAGGGUGCAAGCGUUGUUCGGAAUUAUUGGGCGUAAAGCGUGCGUAGGCGGACUGUUAAGUCUGGUGUGAAAUCCCUCGGCUCAACCGAGGACGUGCAUUGGAUACUGGCAGUCUUGAGUCCUGGAGAGGAGAGCGGAAUUCCUAGUGUAGAGGUGAAAUUCGUAGAUAUUAGGAGGAACACCAGCGGCGAAAGCGGCUCUCUGGACAGUGGCUGACGCUGAGGCACGAAAGCAUAGGUAGCAAACAGGAUUAGAUACCCUGGUAGUCUAUGCCGUAAACGAUGGGUACUAGUCGGUGCGGGUAUUGACCCCUGCGCUGACGAAGCUAACGCAUUAAGUACCCCGCCUGGGGAGUACGGCCGCAAGGCUAAAACUCAAAGGAAUUGACGGGGCCCGCACAAGCGGUGGAGCAUGUGGUUUAAUUCGAUGCAACGCGAAGAACCUUACCUACACUUGACAUCAUCAGAACUUGUUAGAGAUAACUCGGUGCCUU